This 484-nucleotide ribosomal RNA is filed under the name uncultured bacterium. Its description in RNAcentral is "partial 16S ribosomal RNA". It matches the Rfam family "Bacterial small subunit ribosomal RNA", at positions 29 to 508 of the family's 1533-position model. The record is from RNAcentral.
AUUGAACGCUGGCGGCAGGCCUAACACAUGCAAGUCGAGCGGAUGAAGGGAGCUUGCUCCUGGAUUCAGCGGCGGACGGGUGAGUAAUGCCUAGGAAUCUGCCUGGUAGUGGGGGAUAACGUCCGGAAACGGGCGCUAAUACCGCAUACGUCCUGAGGGAGAAAGUGGGGGAUCUUCGGACCUCACGCUAUCAGAUGAGCCUAGGUCGGAUUAGCUAGUUGGUGGGGUAAAGGCCUACCAAGGCGACGAUCCGUAACUGGUCUGAGAGGAUGAUCAGUCACCACGGAAAGUGAAACGCGGUCAGCGCACAUAGGGGAGGCAGGGGGGGGAAAUUUGGAGAGGGGGGAAAGGCUUACCCCACCCGUGCGGCGGGUGGAAGGAGGGUCUUGGAAUUGAAAAGCACUUUAAGUGGGGGGAAAGGGCAGUAAUUUAAUACCUUGCUUUUUGGACUUAACAAAAAAAAAAAGACCGGACUACUUUCGGC